This 906-nucleotide ribosomal RNA is filed under the name uncultured bacterium. Its description in RNAcentral is "bacterial SSU rRNA". It matches the Rfam family "Bacterial small subunit ribosomal RNA", at positions 58 to 985 of the family's 1533-position model. The record is from RNAcentral.
CUAGGGAAGAAAUGGGGAGGGAAAAUCGAGUAUCGUGCUGGAGUACACGAGCGGCGGACGGCUGAGUAACGCGUGGGAACGUACCCCAAAGUGAGGGAUAAGCACCAGAAAUGGUGUCUAAUACCGCAUAUGGUCUUCGGAUUAAAGCUUCGGCGCUUUGGGAACGGCCUGCGUAUGAUUAGUUUGUUGGUGAGGUAACGGCUCACCAAGACUACGAUCAUUAGCUGGUCUGAGAGGAUGAUCAGCCAGACUGGGACUGAGAACGGCCCAGACUCCUACGGGAGGCAGCAGUAGGGAAUUUUCCACAAUGGACGAAAGUCUGAUGGAGCAACGCCGCGUGCAGGAUGAAUGCCUUCGGGUUGUAAACUGCUUUUAUAUGUGACGAUUAUGACGGUAGCAUAUGAAUAAGGAUCGGCUAAUUCCGUGCCAGCAGCCGCGGUCAUACGGAAGAUCCAAGCGUUAUCCGGAAUUACUGGGCGUAAAGAGUUGCGUAGGUGGCAUAGUAAGUAGAUAGUGAAAUCCUGGGGCUCAACCCUUUAAACAUUAUCUAAACUGCUAAGCUAGAGGGCGAGAGAGGUUACUAGAAUUUCUUGUGUAGGAGUGAAAUCCGUAGAUAUAAGAAGGAAUACCGAUGGCGUAGGCAGGUAACUGGCUCGUCCCUGACACUAAGGCACGAAAGCGUGGGGAGCGACCGGGAUUAGAUACCCCGUUAGUCCACGCCGUAAACGAUGGAUGCUAGCUGUUAUGAGUAUCGACCCUCGUAGUAGCGAAGCUAACGCGUUAAGCAUCCCGCCUGUGGAGUACGAGCGCAAGCUUAAAACAUAAAGGAAUUGACGGGGACCCGCACAAGCGGUGGAGCGUGUUCUUUAAUUCGAUGGUAAGCGAAGAACCUUACCCAGGUUUGAC